This 429-nucleotide ribosomal RNA is filed under the name Bacteroidota bacterium. Its description in RNAcentral is "Bacteroidetes bacterium partial 16S ribosomal RNA". It matches the Rfam family "Bacterial small subunit ribosomal RNA", at positions 355 to 776 of the family's 1533-position model. Lineage: Bacteria; Pseudomonadati; Bacteroidota. The record is from RNAcentral.
UAGGGAAUCUUCGGCAAUGGGGGGAACCCUGACCGAGCAACGCCGCGUGAGUGAAGAAGGUUUUCGGAUCGUAAAGCUCUGUUGUUAAGGAAGAACGAGUGUGAGAAUGGAAAGUUCAUACUGUGACGGUACUUAACCAGAAAGGGACGGCUAACUACGUGCCAGCAGCCGCGGUAAUACGUAGGUCCCGAGCGUUGUCCGGAUUUAUUGGGCGUAAAGCGAGCGCAGGCGGUUAGAUAAGUCUGAAGUUAAAGGCAGUGGCUCAACCAUUGUAGGCUUUGGAAACUGUAUAACUUGAGUGCAGAAGGGGAGAGUGGAAUUCCAUGUGUAGCGGUGAAAUGCGUAGAUAUAUGGAGGAACACCGGUGGCGAAAGCGGCUCUCUGGUCUGUAACUGACGCUGAGGCUCGAAAGCGUGGGGAGCGAACAGG